AAACGAAAAUAUAUAAAAUAUGGGAAAUUUACAACAUUCCUCAUUGUCUACUGUAACAUUCUUAAAUGUGAAAUAAGCAACUUCAUCAUCUUCCCACCCAUUGAGGGAAAAUGGCCAACGAUCUGAGAAUAUCUCAAGAAGAGCAUUAUGUAGGAGGUCUCUCCAAUGCUUGUAUUUGAGAUACCGAGCUCCCGGAUGUGGUAAGAAAAUUUUGUUUUUGAUAGUAUCUAUUGCCACCAUAAACAAUUCCAAAUCAUUGGAAAAUAGAGAGUAGAGAUUAUCUUCCGAUGUGUGUUCCUCCUCAGUAAAACUUUCUAGAGCAAGCCUUUUCUGACACUUGGUUGUCAAAGAGUUUUUUUUUUAAAAUUCCCAAUCCCAACCUUCCUUUGAAAGAAACAACAUUUUGGGAGGAUUACUACUCCCUUGCCCCAAACCAAAACGGCCACAAACUAGAGAUUUUGUAGCAAAUGAAUUCAUCUUUGAAAGAAAGAGAAAUUUCUUGAAAGAAUGAAGACUUUGAAAAAGUGUUUGCAGGAGAGAUUGAAAGAGUUUGAAAAAGUGUUUGCAAAAGAGAUUGAAGCUUCAAGAUUAUAUUUAAAGAGAUAUGAAGGUAAUUUAAAGAGAGAAGAGUUCACAGAUCUCCUAGAAUUUACUCGAUACAUGACAAAUACCCAAAUUCUCUUUUUUUUCUGUUUCCUGAGACUUUUCCUUGAAUCCUCUUCCCUCCUACCAAAUAUCUGGAAAUUUG
RNAcentral lists this small RNA (748 nucleotides) under Arabidopsis thaliana (thale cress). RNAcentral's name for it is "ATSL277910". Lineage: Eukaryota; Viridiplantae; Streptophyta; Magnoliopsida; Brassicales; Brassicaceae. The record is from RNAcentral.